AGAUGGGAUUUGACUCUAGUGCGGCUAGUUCCUUGAGGGUUGGCAUGUACACAAACUACUCUAUCUUGUUAUUCUUCCUCCACGAAGAAAUUAUUAUGUUGAGCUGGUAAUUGGGCAAAGCUUGAACUGCACCGUGUGGCUGUAAAGUGCGCUGCUCAUUCAACAUUCAUAGCAUCUGUCAUAUAUGUGGUGGCUGCACGUCAGAAAGUUGGGAUGUGAUUGAUUCUGAAGUCAGAGAAUAUAAAGUGAUUGUUUAAGGUGAAGAUGGAUCAUUUUGCACCACUCCCUCAACUUCAUGGGGUUCGGCAAAAUCCAACACUUAUCUAUUUCUUUUGCACUUCCUUUUUUUUUUAUUUUCAUAGCAAAACAUUGUACGAAAAAAAAAGUGAUUGAAUCUCUAAAAUAAUAUAUGGA
This is a long non-coding RNA of Gossypium arboreum, 414 nucleotides long. RefSeq lists it as uncharacterized. The record is from RefSeq and is a predicted model, not a curated record. Lineage: Eukaryota; Viridiplantae; Streptophyta; Magnoliopsida; Malvales; Malvaceae. The transcript has 3 exons.